This 253-nucleotide ribosomal RNA is filed under the name uncultured bacterium. Its description in RNAcentral is "partial 16S ribosomal RNA". It matches the Rfam family "Bacterial small subunit ribosomal RNA", at positions 524 to 776 of the family's 1533-position model. The record is from RNAcentral.
GACAGAGGCCUCGAGCGUUAUUCGGAAUCACUGGGCUUACAGAGUUCGUAGGCGGUCUGGAAAGUUGGGUGUGAAAUCCCUCGGCUCAACCGAGGAACUGCGCUUGAAACUACCAGACUCGAGGGAGAUAGAGGAAAGCGGAACUGAUGGUGGAGCGGUGAAAUGCGUUGAUAUCAUCAGGAACACCGGUGGCGAAGGCGGCUUUCUGGGUCUUACCUGACGCUGAGGAACGAAAGCCAGGGGAGCGAACGGG